Molecule: unclassified non-coding RNA, 267 nt
Filed under: fungal sp.
Lineage: Eukaryota; Fungi
Description: partial internal transcribed spacer region
Rfam family: Eukaryotic small subunit ribosomal RNA (bases 1-46)
Source: RNAcentral
AAGUCGUAACAAGGUUUCCGUAGGUGAACCUGCGGAAGGAUCAUUAAAAAAGAUUACACGUGGUGAAGGCCAAAAAGCCGGAUCCAAUGCGGUAGUCACACCUGUUUACCUUUACCUGUUGCUUCCGUGGAAUUAGGGGUACUCUUCUGGUUAGCUAGUUAGAGUAUCCUUUCACGAAAGGAUCUAAAAAAAACUUGUUUUGUAUUAUUGUCUGAUAAAAUUUUUUAAUAAAAGUUAAAACUUUCAACAACGGAUCUCUAGGUUCUC